RNAcentral lists this ribosomal RNA (449 nucleotides) under uncultured bacterium. Its description in RNAcentral is "partial 16S ribosomal RNA". It matches the Rfam family "Bacterial small subunit ribosomal RNA", at positions 29 to 523 of the family's 1533-position model. The record is from RNAcentral.
AGCGAACGCUGGCGGCAGGCCUAACACAUGCAAGUCGAACGGACCCUUCGGGGUUAGUGGCGGACGGGUGAGUAACACGUGGGAACGUGCCUUUAGGUUCGGAAUAGCUCCUGGAAACGGGUGGUAAUGCCGAAUGUGCCCUUCGGGGGAAAGAUUUAUCGCCUUUAGAGCGGCCCGCGUCUGAUUAGCUAGUUGGUGAGGUAAUGGCUCACCAAGGCGACGAUCAGUAGCUGGUCUGAGAGGAUGACCAGCCACACUGGGACUGAGACACGGCCCAGACUCCUACGGGGGGCAGCAGAGGGGAAUCUUGCGCAAUGGGCGAAAGCCUGACGCAGCCAUGCCGCGUGAAUAAUGAAGGUCUUAGGAUUGUAAAAUUCUUUCACAAGGGACGAUAAUGACGGUACCCGGAGAAGAAGCCCCGGCUAACUUCGUGCCAGCCGCCGCCGUAA